AACAAACGCUGGCGGCAUGCCUAAUACAUGCAAGUCGAACGGAAGUAGCAAUACUUCAGUGGCGAACGGGUGAGUAACACGUAAGUAACCGACCUCAAAGACGAGGAUACCCUCUGGAAACGGAGGCUAAAACUGGAUAGGACGAGAGCCCAAAAGGGCAUUCGUUUAAAGGUGCAAUUGCACUGCUAUGAGACGGGCUUGCGGCGCAUUAGCUAGUUGGUGAGAUAAUAGCCCACCAAGGCAACGAUGCGUAGCUGCGCUGAGAGGCGGAACAGCCACACUGGGACUGAGACACGGCCCAGACUCCUACGGGUGGCAG
This 319-nucleotide ribosomal RNA is filed under the name uncultured Chloroflexota bacterium. RNAcentral's name for it is "bacterial SSU rRNA". It matches the Rfam family "Bacterial small subunit ribosomal RNA", at positions 29 to 351 of the family's 1533-position model. The record is from RNAcentral. Lineage: Bacteria; Bacillati; Chloroflexota.